UAACACGUGGGUAACCUGCCUGUAAGACCGGGAUAACUCCGGGAAACCGGUGCUAAUACCGGAUAGAUUAUCUUUCCGCCUGGAGAGAUAAGGAAAGAUGGCUAUUGCCAUCACUUACAGAUGGGCCCGCGGCGCAUUAGCUAGUUGGUGAGGUAACGGCUCACCAAGGCGACGAUGCGUAGCCGACCUGAGAGGGUGAUCGGCCACACUGGGACUGAGACACGGCCCAGACUCCUACGGGAGGCAGCAGUAGGGAAUCUUCCGCAAUGGACGAAAGUCUGACGGAGCAACGCCGCGUGAGUGAAGAAGGUCUUCGGAUCGUAAAGCUCUGUUGUUAGGGAAGAACAAGUAUCGGAGGAAAUGCCGGUACCUUGACGGUACCUGACGAGAAAGCCACGGCUAACUACGUGCCAGCAGCCGCGGUAAUACGUAGGUGGCAAGCGUUGUCUGGAAUUAUUGGGCGUAAAGCGCGCGCAGGCGGUCCUUUAAGUCUGAUGUGAAAUCUUGCGGCUCAACCGCAAGCGGUCAUUGGAAACUGGGGGACUUGAGUGCAGAAGAGGAAA
RNAcentral lists this ribosomal RNA (563 nucleotides) under uncultured bacterium. RNAcentral describes it as "bacterial SSU rRNA". It matches the Rfam family "Bacterial small subunit ribosomal RNA", at positions 111 to 660 of the family's 1533-position model. The record is from RNAcentral.